RNAcentral lists this ribosomal RNA (420 nucleotides) under uncultured bacterium. RNAcentral describes it as "bacterial SSU rRNA". It matches the Rfam family "Bacterial small subunit ribosomal RNA", at positions 356 to 774 of the family's 1533-position model. The record is from RNAcentral.
AAGGAAUAUUGGUCAAUGGACGCAAGUCUGAACCAGCCAUGCCGCGUGAAGGAUGAAGGUCCUCUGGAUUGUAAACUUCUUUUAUCUGGGACGAAAACGGGAUUUUUAUCUCAAUUGACGGUACCAGAGGAAUAAGCACCGGCUAACUCCGUGCCAGCAGCCGCGGUAAUACGGAGGGUGCGAGCGUUAUCCGGAUUUACUGGGUUUAAAGGGUGCGUAGGUGGGCUUAUAAGUCAGUGGUGAAAUCUCCGAGCUUAACUUGGAAACUGCCGUUGAUACUAUAGGUCUUGAAUUAUCUGGAGGUAAGCGGAAUAUGUCGUGUAGCGGUGAAAUGCUUAGAUAUGACAUAGAACACCAAUUGCGAAGGCAGCUUACUACAUAUAAAUUGACGCUGAGGCACGAAAGCGUGGGGAUCAAACA